GUGCUCACUUCGACAGCACAUAUACUAAAAUUGGAAAGAUACAGAGAAGAUUAGCACAGCCCCUGCACAAGGAUAACACACAAAUACAUGAAGCAUUCCAUAUUUUU
This is a small nuclear RNA of Sorex araneus (European shrew), 107 nucleotides long. NCBI's taxonomy places the organism in Eukaryota, Metazoa, Chordata, Mammalia, Eulipotyphla, Soricidae. The record is from RefSeq and is a predicted model, not a curated record.